This 460-nucleotide ribosomal RNA is filed under the name uncultured bacterium. RNAcentral's name for it is "partial 16S ribosomal RNA". It matches the Rfam family "Bacterial small subunit ribosomal RNA", at positions 338 to 795 of the family's 1533-position model. The record is from RNAcentral.
CCUACGGGGGGCUGCAGUGAGGAAUAUUGGUCAAUGGACGAGAGUCUGAACCAGCCAAGUAGCGUGAAGGAUGACUGCCCUAUGGGUUGUAAACUUCUUUUAUAAAGGAAUAAAACGAGGCACGUGUGCCUUUUUGCAUGUACUUUAUGAAUAAGGAUCGGCUAACUCCGUGCCAGCAGCCGCGGUAAUACGGAGGAUCCGAGCGUUAUCCGGAUUUAUUGGGUUUAAAGGGAGCGUAGAUGGGUUGUUAAGUCAGUUGCGAAAGUUUGCGGCUCAACCGUAAAAUUGCAAUUGAUACUGGCAGUCUUGAGUACAGUUGAGGUAGGCGGAAUUCGUGGUGUAGCGGUGAAAUGCUUAGAUAUCACGAAGAACCCCGAUUGCGAAGGCAGCUUACUAAACUGUGACUGACAUUGAUGCUCGAAAGUGUGGGUAUCAAACAGGAUUAGAUACCCGGGUAGUC